GCGCUGCUCCAGCUCCACGUGCGCUCGGGGAUGCAAUGCAGCCCUGCAGACAAGCGUCUCCGGCAGGACGUGGGCCGCGGGUCUCGGAGCCUCCUUCACUUAGGAAUCCUCCGGAAUCCGCCCCACUGCACGCCAGCAGUCGGGGGCCUGGGGCGUGCUGCCCACGUUACUGACGGAAGCGAAGGAAAGAUGGCGGCGACCAUGAUGGCUUCAGAGAGAGGGCAACCAACGAGAGGACGCCGGCCGGCCAGAGCGUCCACACCGCCGCUUUUUCUGCGGUUGCGUCCUGGGAAGGCGCGAAUUGUGUGGCUACGUGCGGGUCGUCCUCUCCACCAUUUUUUAAUGGAAAAAAUAAUAAUUCUCAAAGACG
RNAcentral lists this non-coding RNA (370 nucleotides) under Pongo abelii (Sumatran orangutan). The record is from RNAcentral. Lineage: Eukaryota; Metazoa; Chordata; Mammalia; Primates; Hominidae.